GUACUGGUGUUACUGGUUCCUACCUUCUGACGAACCAUCAUGUCAUUAAUUUGGUGUGGUGGGGAAUCAGGACUGUUACUUUGAAAAAAUUAGAGUGUUUAAAGCAGGCUCGCGCUUGAAUACAUUAGCAUGGAAUAAUGAAAUAGGACGUUGAUCCUAUUUUGUUGGUUUCUAGGAUUGACGUAAUGAUUAAUAGGGAUAGUUGGGA
Molecule: ribosomal RNA, 208 nt
Filed under: uncultured fungus
Lineage: Eukaryota; Fungi
Description: partial 18S ribosomal RNA
Rfam family: Eukaryotic small subunit ribosomal RNA
Source: RNAcentral